This 253-nucleotide ribosomal RNA is filed under the name uncultured bacterium. RNAcentral's name for it is "partial 16S ribosomal RNA". It matches the Rfam family "Bacterial small subunit ribosomal RNA", at positions 524 to 776 of the family's 1533-position model. The record is from RNAcentral.
UACGUAGGGUGCAAGCGUUAAUCGGAAUUAUUGGGCGUAAAGCGUGCGUAGGCGGUUUUAUAAGAUAGAUGUGAAAUCCUUGGGCUCAACCUGGGAACUGCAUUUGUGACUGUAGAGCUGGAGUGCGGCAGAGGGGGAUGGAAUUCUGUGUGUAGCAGUGAAAUGCGUAGAUAUGCGGAGGAAUACCGAUGGCGAAGGCAAUCUCCUGGACCUGUACUGACGCUCAUGCACGAAAGCGUGGGGAGCAAACAGG